AAAAUAUAAUUUUAGUGGUGGCAUAGUAUUCAUAGUACUAUAAUUUAUUUAUUACCCACAUAUAAUAAACAGGGCUUCCAUGGUGGCUCAGAUGGUAAAGAAUCUGCCUGCAAUGCAGAAGACCCAGGGAUCGAACCUGGGUCUCCCGCAUUGUGGGCGGACGCUUUAACCUCGGAACUACCAGGGAAGCCCAAGGGAGUAGCCAUCAGGAAUGAUGGAUGGAAGUGCCGUGACGCAAGUAUAGACGCCAAAGAUUCUUCAGGUCAGAUAGGUCUCGGUCUCGCUAUAUUAUUUCAGGAACCCAAGUGUGUUCUGAAGGGGUGUUUUGAUAUUAGUAACAACAUAUA
This 347-nucleotide long non-coding RNA is filed under the name Ovis aries (sheep). Its description in RNAcentral is "lncRNA (ENSOARG00000025435.1)". The record is from RNAcentral. Lineage: Eukaryota; Metazoa; Chordata; Mammalia; Artiodactyla; Bovidae.